This 390-nucleotide ribosomal RNA is filed under the name Arion subfuscus. RNAcentral's name for it is "partial 16S ribosomal RNA". It matches the Rfam family "Bacterial large subunit ribosomal RNA", at positions 1851 to 2600 of the family's 2925-position model. The record is from RNAcentral. Lineage: Eukaryota; Metazoa; Mollusca; Gastropoda; Stylommatophora; Arionidae.
AGUUAAGCCUGCCCGGUGAAAUUGGUUUAACGGCCGCAGUACUUUGACUGUGCUAAGGUAGCAAAAUAAAUUGGCUUUUAAUUUAAGUCGAGUAUGAAUGGCAUCAUGGGUGUAAGCUGUCUCAGUUACUUAAUUUUAUGAAUUUAACUGGUAGGUGAAAACGCCUACUGAUUAAUAUUAGACGAGAAGACCCUUAGAGUUUUAAAUAUAUAGUAUUAAUUACUCAUUCUUUUUUGUUGGGGCGACAAAGUAUCAUAUAAAGCAUACUUAAAUAAAUUUAAGACAAGUCUUCCUUAAAAAUGAGUAUAACUACCUAAGGGAUAACAGCAUAAUUUUUUUUAAGAUUGUGACCUCGAUGUUGGACUAGGGACUUAAUAUAUUAGCCAUACA